UACGUAGGGUGCAAGCGUUAAUCGGAAUUACUGGGCGUAAAGCGUGCGCAGGCGGUUGUGCAAGACAGAUGUGAAAUCCCCGGGCUUAACCUGGGAACUGCAUUUGUGACUGCACAGCUGGAGUGCGGCAGAGGGGGAUGGAAUUCCGCGUGUAGCAGUGAAAUGCGUAGAUAUGCGGAGGAACGCCGAUGGCGAAGGCAAUCCCCUGGGCCUGCACUGACGCUCAUGCACGAAAGCGUGGGGAGCAAACAGG
RNAcentral lists this ribosomal RNA (253 nucleotides) under uncultured bacterium. RNAcentral describes it as "partial 16S ribosomal RNA". It matches the Rfam family "Bacterial small subunit ribosomal RNA", at positions 524 to 776 of the family's 1533-position model. The record is from RNAcentral.